Molecule: ribosomal RNA, 468 nt
Filed under: uncultured bacterium
Lineage: Bacteria
Description: partial 16S ribosomal RNA
Rfam family: Bacterial small subunit ribosomal RNA
Source: RNAcentral
GACGAACGCUGGAGGCGUGCUUAACACAUGCAAGUCGAACGGAAAGGCCCUGCUUUUGUGGGGUGCUCGAGUGGCGAACGGGUGAGUAACACGUGAGUAACCUGCCCUUGACUUUGGGAUAACUUCAGGAAACUGGGGCUAAUACCGGAUAGGAGCUCCUGCUGCAUGGUGGGGGUUGGAAAGUUUCGGCGGUUGGGGAUGGACUCGCGGCUUAUCAGCUUGUUGGUGGGGUAGUGGCUUACCAAGGCUUUGACGGGUAGCCGGCCUGAGAGGGUGACCGGCCACAUUGGGACUGAGAUACGGCCCAGACUCCUACGGGAGGCAGCAGUGGGGAAUAUUGCACAAUGGGCGGAAGCCUGAUGCAGCAACGCCGCGUGCGGGAUGACGGCCUUCGGGUUGUAAACCGCCUUCGCCUGUGACGAAGCGUGAGUGACGGUAAUGGGUAAAGAAGCACCGGCUAACUACGUG